AUUGAUCGUGAUCUCAAAAUUCAGGGUGACGCGUUUGGAAGUACAAAGGAAGUGACAGGAACGAGUAUAUUAUUAUGCAAUUGAAUAGGAUUUGAAGUUUUACAACGGUUUUGUUAGACUAUCUGGGAUUAAAGUGGGAUAAGUUCGUAUCUUUGAGCUAAAGCUUUCUAUCAUUGUAAAUGUUGUGUUCAAUAUAUUUACGCUUAGGACAUUGGUGAUCUUGAUCACUCGGGUAAAGGCGACCUCCGAGCUUAGUUAUUAGAGCUAAAUCAUUUGGAUUUGGAUGAUCCUGUGAAAGGGGAAAGGAUAUGAUGAUGCGAACGUACGUCUUUAAGGGCUUUUCUUAUGUGUUUCCUCUUGUAGUAUUUAAUCCGGGUGGACGUGUCGAUGUGAUUUGCGUCUAAAAUUCUGCCGGCCAUCGAAUCGGUUGUGUCUACCAGGUUUACGUGUUUUAUCAAUCGGGAUUGUUUCAAGAGAACAGCCGUGUAAAUCGGUGCUUCGCCUCCUCCGAUUAUACAUACUUGCACGUCGCCCUUGCGCUCUGGGAGGAAGCGAUUGUAGCCAUUGAACUCGGUUUCCUUUGGAUUAUUAGGAUCAGUUUUUUCCUUAGAUUUCUUCGAGUGUUUGCUGCACUCCGGGUUCUUGAUUUUCCCAUCGUUGGUGUGUAUUUUGGAAAUGUUGCGACAGAGGCAAGUCGAUAGACUUUUCCUGACGGGUCGCAGGAGGUACCGUUGGGCUCCUAUCAUGACUGAUCGUUUGCCUUGGAGAGUGAGUCAUUCAUGAUAGCCUUUCGUAUUACUGUAGGGAUUUAAGAAAACAUGAGGAAUCACCGAGGUUAAUGGUGUUAACUCAAUAUUACACUGCUUAUUUCUAUUUCGGUGCCGACUUUUUGAAGGAAGUGUUUGGAUCUUUGCUGCUGAAGGUCCUUCUUCAAUAUCUGCAGAAAAUGAUUAUUUCUGUAAAAUAAUUAUAGUAUUUAAAUAGGAUGAAGAAAAUGGGCAUAAGAGAAGUACAAGUAAUCAAACAGUAUAUGUAUAAAUCUACAAUGAUGUCAGACAUAUCUGGAAGAGAUUGUAUACUUAAAGUUUUUUCAUUUGCUAAAUGUAACAAGGAUACAAAGGAAAUAGGAAAACUCAAUGCAUCUACAUUGGUCUUUAUUAAUAAAUUUGGC
Molecule: non-coding RNA, 1171 nt
Organism: Nomia melanderi (Alkali bee)
Lineage: Eukaryota; Metazoa; Arthropoda; Insecta; Hymenoptera; Halictidae
Source: RefSeq, a predicted model, not a curated record